CAGUAUCCGCGGUAACACGUAGGGUGCGAGCGUUAAUCGGAGUUACUGGGCGUAAAGCGUGCGCAGGCGGUUAUAUAAGACAGAUGUGAAAUCCCCGGGCUCAACCUGGGACCUGCAUUUGUGACUGUAUAGCUAGUGUACGGUAGAGGGGGAUGGAAUUCCGCGUGUAGCAGUGAAAUGCGUAGAUAUGCGGAGGAACACCGAUGGCGAAGGCAAUCCCCUGGACCUGUACUGACGCUCAUGCACGAAAGCGUGGGGAGCAAACAGGAUUAGAGACCCCUGUAGUCCCUGUCUCUUAUAC
RNAcentral lists this ribosomal RNA (301 nucleotides) under uncultured bacterium. RNAcentral's name for it is "partial 16S ribosomal RNA". It matches the Rfam family "Bacterial small subunit ribosomal RNA", at positions 509 to 807 of the family's 1533-position model. The record is from RNAcentral.